Molecule: ribosomal RNA, 424 nt
Filed under: Fusobacteriota bacterium
Lineage: Bacteria; Fusobacteriati; Fusobacteriota
Description: Fusobacteria bacterium partial 16S ribosomal RNA
Rfam family: Bacterial small subunit ribosomal RNA
Source: RNAcentral
UGAGGAAUAUUGGUCAUUGGGCGAGAGCCUGAACCAGCCAAGUAGCGUGCAGGAUGACGGCCCUAUGGGUUGUAAACUGCUUUUAUGUGGGGAUAAAGUGCGUGACGUGUCAUGCAUUGCAGGUACCACAUGAAUAAGGACCGGCUAAUUCCGUGCCAGCAGCCGCGGUAAUACGGAAGGUCCGGGCGUUAUCCGGAUUUAUUGGGUUUAAAGGGAGCGUAGGCUGUCUAUUAAGCGUGUUGUGAAAUUUACCGGCUCAACCGGUGGCUUGCAGCGCGAACUGGUCGACUUGAGUAUGCAGGAAGUAGGCGGAAUUCAUGGUGUAGCGGUGAAAUGCUUAGAUAUCAUGACGAACUCCGAUUGCGCAGGCAGCUUACUGUAGCAUAACUGACGCUGAUGCUCGAAAGUGCGGGUAUCAAACAGG